CCUCUCCCUGUUAUUACCAAACACGCUGUAAUUACCCACCACAAGCCAGAUCUUGCGCCGCCCCCAACAUCGCGACGCUCACUGCUCUCUCCGGCCGGCCGCUGCACCGCUCCGUCGUCCUCAAACCCUCCCGCCGCCCCACACCACCCAUCCCCCAUGAGCUCAAACCCUCUCCUCCGUCAAGUUGCUCCAUCCCCACCCCGUCACCAAGAACCCCGGCGUCGUCCUGCGCACCGGGCAGAUCCCGGCGAAGACCAGGCUCAACCUGUGCCGGAAGCUCUUGUCGGCCGUGGCGGAGCACAUCUCCAUGCCAUCUCGCUUCUCCACCGCUGCCCCCGCAUCGUCCUGCCUCUCCACCAGGGCCCCCACACCACCAUGCUCCCCGCCGUCGCCACGUACUCCCUGCUGCCGCCGCCGGAGAUUUCCCACGAUCGGAACAAAUCAGCACCGGUGUGGUUUCUUUCUUCUUCAGAAGGCCAGACUUUUACAAUUCAUAAAGAGACCAUAUCCAUUUGACGUGCAAUGACACUCUGCUGUAGAGGAUGGUGCACUAAGACGAGAAGGCAGUGUGGUGCAUUAAUCCUAGUAAGUGAGGUGGUCAGGUGUGUUGCAGUUUGUCAACUACUUAUGAUUUAUCGCUCAAGUGGUCUGCUGCACAUCAAUGCAAAAUUAACUUCAAACUCUUAUGGCUUGUGGGGCAUGCACACUUAUUGACCAACAAAUACGUUGCAAAUCAUUCCUGUGAAUUCUAUAUACGUGAGGUGUACUAUAAAUACGGCACAAAUCCCGAAGAAAUGGAGGGUGCGGAUUACAUCCUCGCGUGGCACCAUGUCCACUCGUGAUUUAUCAUCAACGGACGUGAAUUUUUGGGACAUGCGGCCACGCGAUGCCGUAAUCCAGUGCGUCUGCGCGCGCAUCGUGAUUGCUACUUAAUAUAGGCACAUUCGCUAUUCCUGACAUGUUAAUCACCAGUGCUUGUGAAUACUUCGCGUGAUACUGUUGGAAAUAUGCCCUAGAGGCAAUAAUAAAAUGGAUAUUAUUGUAUUUCCUUGUUCA
This is a long non-coding RNA of Aegilops tauschii subsp. strangulata, 1056 nucleotides long. RefSeq lists it as uncharacterized. The record is from RefSeq and is a predicted model, not a curated record. Lineage: Eukaryota; Viridiplantae; Streptophyta; Magnoliopsida; Poales; Poaceae.